This 1343-nucleotide ribosomal RNA is filed under the name uncultured bacterium. Its description in RNAcentral is "16S ribosomal RNA". It matches the Rfam family "Bacterial small subunit ribosomal RNA", at positions 28 to 1378 of the family's 1533-position model. The record is from RNAcentral.
GACGAACGCUGGCGGCGUGCUUAACACAUGCAAGUCGAACGGAAAGGCCCUGCUUUUGUGGGGUGCUCGAGUGGCGAACGGGUGAGUAACACGUGAGUAACCUGCCCUUGACUUUGGGAUAACUUCAGGAAACUGGGGCUAAUACCGGAUAGGAGCUCCUGCUGCAUGGUGGGGGUUGGAAAGUUUCGGCGGUUGGGGAUGGACUCGCGGCUUAUCAGCUUGUUGGUGGGGUAGUGGCUCACCAAGGCUUUGACGGGUAGCCGGCCUGAGAGGGUGACCGGCCACAUUGGGACUGAGAUACGGCCCAGACUCCUACGGGAGGCAGCAGUGGGGAAUAUUGCACAAUGGGCGGAAGCCUGAUGCAGCAACGCCGCGUGCGAGAUGACGGCCUUCGGGUUGUAAACCGCUUUCGCCUGUGACGAAGCGUGAGUGACGGUAAUGGGUAAAGAAGCACCGGCUAACUACGUGCCAGCAGCCGCGGUGAUACGUAGGGUGCGAGCGUUGUCCGGAUUUAUUGGGCGUAAAGGGCUCGUAGGUGGUUGAUCGCGUCGGAAGUGUAAUCUUGGGGCUUAACCCUGAGCGUGCUUUCGAUACGGGUUGACUUGAGGAAGGUAGGGGAGAAUGGAAUUCCUGGUGGAGCGGUGGAAUGCGCAGAUAUCAGGAGGAACACCAGUGGCGAAGGCGGUUCUCUGGGCCUUUCCUGACGCUGAGGAGCGAAAGCGUGGGGAGCGAACAGGCUUAGAUACCCUGGUAGUCCACGCUGUAAACGGUGGGUACUAGGUGUGGGGUCCAUUCCACGGGUUCCGUGCCGUAGCUAACGCUUUAAGUACCCCGCCUGGGGAGUACGGCCGCAAGGCUAAAACUCAAAGGAAUUGACGGGGCCCCGCACAAGCGGCGGAGCAUGCGGAUUAAUUCGAUGCAACGCGUAGAACCUUACCUGGGUUUGACAUGGAUCGGGAGUGCUCAGAGAUGGGUGUGCCUCUUUUGGGGUCGGUUCACAGGUGGUGCAUGCCUGUCGUCAGCUCGUGUCGUGAGAUGUUGGGUUAAGUCCCGCAACGAGCGCAACCCUUGUUCACUGUUGCCAGCACGUUAUGGUGGGGACUCAGUGGAGACCGCCGGGGUCAACUCGGAGGAAGGUGGGGAUGACGUCAAGUCAUCAUGCCCCUUAUGUCCAGGGCUUCACGCAUGCUACAAUGGCUGGUACAGAGAGUGGCGAGCCUGUGAGGGUGAGCGAAUCUCGGAAAGCCGGUCUCAGUUCGGAUUGGGGUCUGCAACUCGACCUCAUGAAGUCGGAGUCGCUAGUAAUCGCAGAUCAGCAACGCUGCGGUGAAUACGUUCCCGGG